Molecule: long non-coding RNA, 1059 nt
Organism: Gasterosteus aculeatus aculeatus (three-spined stickleback)
Lineage: Eukaryota; Metazoa; Chordata; Actinopteri; Perciformes; Gasterosteidae
Source: Ensembl
CCUCCGCCCCCCUCCGCCUCCCUCCGCCUCCCUCCGCCCCACUAAUUUUGUAGUAAUGUUUCACUUUUUUCCGUCUACUUUUAUCUUUGUUUAUUAAGCGUGGACACAUGUGUGCCAGGAGAGGACUGCCACUGAUUUCAAUAGAAAGAGAUGUUCGGAGGUCCUUAGGUAUGGAAGACGUCAUAGUGGCCGUAUUUGCAGAAGCCGAGGCCGCAAGCAGCAGUUUUACGUAAAAAAAGGCACCACUGUGGAUGUAGGACCAAGGUGUCACAGCAACUUCUUCCUUUCCACUUCAAUUCCUUCCUUGUUUGUUUGUUUUUUUGCUUAGUUGCGUUUGUAUCAUUCUUUUUGUCAUUUAUCAUUCUCAAAAAUGUACACAUUUCAAUUAUGUUGGUUUUUCUGUUAUUUAAAUGUUGUGUUCGCAUUCAGAUGUUAUUGAUUAUUUAUUUCAUAUGUUUUUUCAAUUGCUAACAAGCAUUGUUCAAUACUUAAACCACAUUUUCAAAACUCUUCACACAUUCAGCGAGUGUAUACAGACCUAACUUUAAAUAAUUUUUCAUUGCUUUCAGACAAAAUCCACAAACACUUUCGUCAUUCAUACUCCACAAACUGCAAAAACUGUACAUCUGCAGGAUAUUUUUCAUAUGCUAACACAAUCUACUGCUUUCCACUGCUUUCAAAACUGAUGAAAGCACAUUCAAAUCAGAAAAUCAGACAAAAUCAGACAAAUUUCAAACAUUUCUCUCGUAAUGUUUUUGAAAUCUAGAAAAUCUUCAGAAUUAUCAGUCCAAGCGAAUUACAAUUUCAGCUCAAAGCCGACCAGGUGUCCUGCUUUAGUCUCACAACCAUGUUUCAGUAUACACUUGUGUGUGUGUUUGCUGUUGACUGCAUUGAUUGAUUUCCUCUGCCUUAAGAUUGAGACCUGUCGAUCUCAAUACAUUGAUUGCGAUCGACCCGUCGAUCUCAAUACAUCGAUCGUGAUCGACCAGUCGAUCUCAAUACAUCGAUCGUGAUCGACGAGUCGAUCUCAAUACAUCGAUCGUGAUCGACGAGUCGAUC